AGUGAACGCUGGCGGUAGGCCUAACACAUGCAAGUCGAACGGCAGCACAGGAGAGCUUGCUCUCUGGGUGGCGAGUGGCGGACGGGUGAGGAAUACAUCGGAAUCUACUCUGUCGUGGGGGAUAACGUAGGGAAACUUACGCUAAUACCGCAUACGACCUACGGGUGAAAGCAGGGGACCUUCGGGCCUUGCGAGAUUGAAUGCGACGAUGCAGGAUUAGCUAGUUGGCGGGGUAAAGGCACACCAAGGCGACGAUUCGUAGCUGGUCUGGGAGGAUGAUCAGCCACACUGGAACUGAGACACGGUCCAGACUCCUACGGGAGGCAGCAGUGGAGAAUAUUGGACAAUGGGCGCAAGCCUGAUCCAGCCAUACCGCGUGGGUGAAGAAGGCCUUCGGGUUGUAAAGCCCUUUUGUUGGGAAAGAAAUCCAGCUGGCUAAUACCCGGUUGGGAUGACGGUACCCAAAGAAUAAGCACCGGCUAACUUCGUGCCAGCAGCCGCCGCGG
This 506-nucleotide ribosomal RNA is filed under the name uncultured bacterium. Its description in RNAcentral is "partial 16S ribosomal RNA". It matches the Rfam family "Bacterial small subunit ribosomal RNA", at positions 29 to 523 of the family's 1533-position model. The record is from RNAcentral.